This 467-nucleotide ribosomal RNA is filed under the name uncultured bacterium. RNAcentral's name for it is "partial 16S ribosomal RNA". It matches the Rfam family "Bacterial small subunit ribosomal RNA", at positions 28 to 507 of the family's 1533-position model. The record is from RNAcentral.
GACGAACGCUGGCGGCGUGCUUAACACAUGCAAGUCGAACGGAAAGGCCUCAGCUUGCUGGGGUACUCGAGUGGCGAACGGGUGAGUAACACGUGGGUGAUCUGCCUUGCACUCUGGGAUAAGCUUGGGAAACUGGGUCUAAUACCGGAUAUGAACUGCCUUUAGUGUGGUGGUUGGAAAGUUUUUUCGGUGCAAGAUGAGCUCGCGGCCUAUCAGCUUGUUGGUGGGGUAAUGGCCUACCAAGGCGUCGACGGGUAGCCGGCCUGAGAGGGUGUACGGCCACAUUGGGACUGAGAUACGGCCCAGACUCCUACGGGAGGCAGCAGUGGGGAAUAUUGCACAAUGGGCGGAAGCCUGAUGCAGCGACGCCGCGUGGGGGAGGACGGCCUUCGGGUUGUAAACUCCUUUCGACAGGGACGAAGCUUUUUGUGACGGUACCUGUAUAAGAAGCACCGGCUAACUACGUG